This is a long non-coding RNA of Aphis gossypii (cotton aphid), 671 nucleotides long. RefSeq lists it as uncharacterized. NCBI's taxonomy places the organism in Eukaryota, Metazoa, Arthropoda, Insecta, Hemiptera, Aphididae. The transcript is spliced from 3 exons. The record is from RefSeq and is a predicted model, not a curated record.
GGUAUUUAAUAAUCGACAAUAAUGAAACUUAUAACUAUAAAGUUCAAAACUCUUAAAAAUAUUUUUAUUAAAUUCGAUUUAGAAGUUUUAAACAACAAUUUAAAUAGGUGUAUUUACAUUUUUAAAUUGAUCUACACAAAAUUGCUUUUAUUAUUUACAAAUUCAUUCUUUACUACCAUUUAUAAAUGAUUUUUUUUUAUCAACGUAUGCACUUAUUGUCCUUGUGUAAGACUAACGGAUUGAAACGGCUAAGGAGUGCAAUUGCCAAUUUGACUAUCGAAUCAUCGUAAUCCAGACAACAAUAUGUUUGUAAAGUUUAAACUUUAAAGUGAUAUAAUAAAUGAGAAGAGCUAUAAUUGCGAACAUGUAACUAAUCUAACGUGUAGCUCAUCCAAGAGGGAUGCAAAACAUCAAGUAAAGCAGCAACGUAAUAUUAUUCAAAGUAACAAAGACUCAUAUGAUUUGUUCACCUAUUCUGCAGACGGAUGAAAAAAACUUCACGAGUCUCGUACCGUUAAUCGUUACACACUGAUAACAGGUUCAAAAAGUUAACCAACUUAUGAAUUCGACAGCGGCACCGACGUUGUAGUCGACACAACAGGGGUGGGAUGUAAUUGGUUGAACCAUCACCGCUGCCUAGACGUACGACUUAAACAGCAAUAGACGGUAAC